Molecule: ribosomal RNA, 278 nt
Filed under: uncultured bacterium
Lineage: Bacteria
Description: partial 16S ribosomal RNA
Rfam family: Bacterial small subunit ribosomal RNA
Source: RNAcentral
UGCCAGCAGCCGCGGUAAUACGGAGGGGGUUAGCGUUGUUCGGAAUUACUGGGCGUAAAGCGCACGUAGGCGGAUCAGAAAGUUAGGGGUGAAAUCCCAGGGCUCAACCCUGGAACUGCCUCUCAUACUGGUAGUCUUGAGGUCGAGAGAGGUGAGUGGAAUUCCGAGUGUAGAGGUGAAAUUCGUAGAUAUUGGGAAGAACACCAGUGGCGAAGGCGGCUAACUGGCUCGGUACUGACGCUGAGAUGCGAAGCGUGGGGAGCAAACAGGAUUAGAUA